UGGGGAAUCUUGCGCAAUGGGCGAAAGCCUGACGCAGCAACGCCGCGUGCGGGAUGACGGCCCUCGGGUUGUAAACCGCUUUCAGCAGGAACGAAUCUGACGGUACCUGCAGAAGAAGGUCCGGCCAACUACGUGCCAGCAGCCGCGGUAACACGUAGGGACCAAGCGUUGUCCGGAUUUAUUGGGCGUAAAGAGCUCGUAGGCGGUUCGGUAAGUCGGGUGUGAAAACUCUGGGCUCAACUCGGAGAGGCCACCCGAUACUGCCGUGACUUGAGUCCGGUAGGGGAGCACGGAAUUCCUGGUGUAGCGGUGAAAUGCGCAGAUAUCAGGAGGAACACCGGUGGCGAAGGCGGUGCUCUGGGCCGGUACUGACGCUGAGGAGCGAAAGCGUGGGUAGCAAACAGG
This 405-nucleotide ribosomal RNA is filed under the name uncultured Acidimicrobiales bacterium. RNAcentral's name for it is "bacterial SSU rRNA". It matches the Rfam family "Bacterial small subunit ribosomal RNA", at positions 355 to 776 of the family's 1533-position model. The record is from RNAcentral. Lineage: Bacteria; Bacillati; Actinomycetota; Acidimicrobiia; Acidimicrobiales.